Ceratitis capitata (Mediterranean fruit fly) is the source of this 405-nucleotide long non-coding RNA. RefSeq lists it as uncharacterized. The transcript has 3 exons. NCBI's taxonomy places the organism in Eukaryota, Metazoa, Arthropoda, Insecta, Diptera, Tephritidae. The record is from RefSeq and is a predicted model, not a curated record.
UUCAGUUAACAACAUAAACUGAACGAUACAAUUCAGAAAAAUACGCAGCAGAGCUCUUAUUUCCCAACACUUAGAAUGUAUACGAAAAUGAAAACAACAUCUAAUACAAACCAAUAUAUCGAAAAAUAUGCACACAUACAUAUAUACAUGAAUACGUGCACGCAGUGCGCGUUUGAAGCGAAACGGGAAAUUUGAGUAGCCACCCAACCCAUUUUCUUCUAACCGAAACGCGAACAUACGUGAACCCGAAACGAUUAGAUGAGGUAAAAAUAAGUAAUCAUGUCAUUUCCAUAAAUACAAAAGAACAGCAACAAACCAGGCAAAAAUACAUGAGCUUUUUGUGUAUAUGUUUAUAUGCAUGUAUGUAUAUUCAUGCUGAUACUUUGUUGAUGUGUAUUUCAAGAA